GUCAGCGUAGUGCUAUGGUUUGAGUUUUGGACUACAGCUCUGGAGAUCAGGGUUCGAUUCCCUGCUUGGCCA
Phrynosoma platyrhinos (Desert horned lizard) is the source of this 72-nucleotide non-coding RNA. Lineage: Eukaryota; Metazoa; Chordata; Lepidosauria; Squamata; Phrynosomatidae. The record is from the annotation of a GenBank genome assembly.